GAAUGUGUAAGACUGAUGAUGUGUAUAAGGCCUCUGCAUGUUUUGGUUUUGUAUUUGUGUAUUUAUGUAAGCUGAUAAACACCUUAAUUUUGUUUGGAAUUAGGCCUAACAUGAUAAAAAGUACUUCACUCUAUUCUACAUCCGCAGCUCCAUGAAUGUCAUGAGACACUCCAGGAGACGGUGGUUGCAAUGCAUUAUCAACACCCCGCAACCCCAACCCUCCAAUGGAACCCAGAACCCUCCGGAGUUCCUCAGGACCUGUCGGCAUGAGUGAGGCGAACACAUCGUGCGUUGGAGGAAGAGUUGCAGUGACGACUUGGACCACAGGCCAGAAGCCUGAAAUAGAUUCUUUGAGAAUCUUAAAAGUCAAACAACUGGGCCUUGCGGGGAAGACUGAUGACGUGAGAAAAAAAGGAAAAAUUUGAUGGGCAGACGUGAGCGGCAGUGGUGCUGGUGGCGCAGGAUGUCCUGGAGGAGGACGACCUCGACUACCUCAAAGGAGCUGAUGCCAGCCUUGUGUCUGAUGGGGAAACAAGUGCACAUUUGUUGUGCUCUGUCUGAGAUGGAGAAGUGUGCGCCUUGCUGGCGUACUUCAAUUGAUGCCAGCAAGCCCAGCCAGCGAGUGACCGAUAGUGGCCGGUUCUCCC
Molecule: long non-coding RNA, 647 nt
Organism: Engraulis encrasicolus (European anchovy)
Lineage: Eukaryota; Metazoa; Chordata; Actinopteri; Clupeiformes; Engraulidae
Exons: 4
Source: RefSeq, a predicted model, not a curated record